AUGUGGCAUUGCCAGUCUGGCUACAACCACCUGGGUUACCACCGUGAUUAGGGGGCGGCGCCACGGCCCUUUUUAACAGCGGAUGGGUUUGCUCCACAGGCCCUUUUCUUCAAUCUCCCGUGGUGGUUGUGGCUGGCGUGGCGGAGCUGUAGCCUUAGCGUGCUGGUUAGGGUCGGGCUUCCACACAGCGUGAGUGGCUGCUGGGGUGUGGAGAGCCGACUGCUCCGCUGAAUGUGGUGCGCGCGGCUGGAUUUCUGCUCCGAUCAUUGGAUAACCGAACCGUGGGAUCGGAGGCAUUGGCGCUUCUCCUGGUUCCUGGGUAUGCCAACCGAGCGGUGCUGCGGCCGGGGCAGCCGCCCCAUCCCUGGUGGUGGUUCACAUCCCUUUUCGUGCAGUGUGAGUGUUUACACGGGUGGUUUAGAACACGGACCCC
This is a long non-coding RNA of Melanotaenia boesemani (Boeseman's rainbowfish), 433 nucleotides long. RefSeq lists it as uncharacterized. Lineage: Eukaryota; Metazoa; Chordata; Actinopteri; Atheriniformes; Melanotaeniidae. The transcript has 3 exons. The record is from RefSeq and is a predicted model, not a curated record.